This 382-nucleotide long non-coding RNA is filed under the name Anser brachyrhynchus (Pink-footed goose). RNAcentral describes it as "lncRNA (ENSABRG00000008601.1)". Lineage: Eukaryota; Metazoa; Chordata; Aves; Anseriformes; Anatidae. The record is from RNAcentral.
CUUUUUAAAGGUUUAUAAUUAGGUGAAGUCCCAGAUGAGUCUCUCCUCAAAGAUAAUUAAUUGCAAUACGCAAAAGAGAUGACCUUCUGAGAAAGUCAGAAGGUGAUUUCCUGCAGGCAAGGAAAGGCAUCAAAGCAAAAGUGGCUGAGGUGGAGCACCUUGACAGUGUGGUCAAGAAACUGAAAGCCAGUAUCCAGGACACACAGAAAGAAAGGAAUCAGACAGAAACAGAAACCACCACACUGAGAACUGAGAUUCAGCAGCUAAAUCGGGAACUGCAGGGUGUGCAUAAGCAGUGCAGAAAGACAGCCCAAGAACUUGCCAGUCAAGAUGAAAAACUUCUUCUAAUGGAAUCCAGCUUGAAAGGAACUCAAGAACAGCU